Rattus norvegicus (Norway rat) is the source of this 143-nucleotide small nucleolar RNA. Ensembl annotates it as small nucleolar RNA SNORA48. The record is from Ensembl. Lineage: Eukaryota; Metazoa; Chordata; Mammalia; Rodentia; Muridae.
CACUCCCAACAGUGGGCAAAGGGGCACCUUAUCCUUGGUGGUGUUCUUAUACCAGUCAGGGGCAGAGCAGAUGACAAUGCUUUGUUCAUCCUAGUUUGAUGCCUGACUUGGUGGCCAGGCUGUCUUAUGCCUAGGACUCAUAA